This 145-nucleotide small nuclear RNA is filed under the name Lynx canadensis (Canada lynx). RNAcentral's name for it is "U2 spliceosomal RNA (ENSLCNG00005000292.1)". It matches the Rfam family "U2 spliceosomal RNA". From Rfam's summary of the family: U2 is a small nuclear RNA (snRNA) component of the spliceosome (involved in pre-mRNA splicing). The record is from RNAcentral. Lineage: Eukaryota; Metazoa; Chordata; Mammalia; Carnivora; Felidae.
AUCGCUUCUCGGCCUUUUGGCUAAGAUCAAGUGUAAAGUUUAACAUUAGUGUUAGCUUUUUCUUUCUUUUUUUUUAAGUUUAUUUAUUUAUAAAUAGAGAGAGAAACCAUGUGAGUGGGGGAGGGGCAGAAAGAGAGAAUCCCAA